UCACCAAAGUGGUGGUGAUGUGUUUCUAAUUCCAUUCCCAUAUCACAGCCAGCUUUGAUGAGCU
Molecule: microRNA precursor, 64 nt
Filed under: Euprymna scolopes
Lineage: Eukaryota; Metazoa; Mollusca; Cephalopoda; Sepiida; Sepiolidae
Description: Esc-Mir-2-o48-v1_pre stem-loop
Rfam family: mir-2 microRNA precursor family
About the family: The miRNAs are transcribed as ~70nt precursors (modelled here) and subsequently processed by the Dicer enzyme to give a ~22nt product.
Source: RNAcentral